Molecule: transfer RNA, 73 nt
Filed under: Desulfobacterales bacterium
Lineage: Bacteria; Pseudomonadati; Thermodesulfobacteriota; Desulfobacteria; Desulfobacterales
Description: tRNA-Phe
Rfam family: tRNA
About the family: Transfer RNA (tRNA) molecules are approximately 80 nucleotides in length. Their secondary structure includes four short double-helical elements and three loops (D, anti-codon, and T loops). Further hydrogen bonds mediate the characteristic L-shaped molecular structure. tRNAs have two regions of fundamental functional importance: the anti-codon, which is responsible for specific mRNA codon recognition, and the 3' end, to which the tRNAs corresponding amino acid is attached (by aminoacyl-tRNA synthetases). tRNAs cope with the degeneracy of the genetic code in two manners: having more than one tRNA (with a specific anti-codon) for a particular amino acid; and 'wobble' base-pairing, i.e. permitting non-standard base-pairing at the 3rd anti-codon position.
Source: RNAcentral
GCCUAGGUAGCUCAGUCGGUAGAGCAGGGGACUGAAAAUCCCCGUGUCGGCAGUUCGAUUCUGUCCUUAGGCA